RNAcentral lists this ribosomal RNA (301 nucleotides) under uncultured bacterium. Its description in RNAcentral is "partial 16S ribosomal RNA". It matches the Rfam family "Bacterial small subunit ribosomal RNA", at positions 509 to 807 of the family's 1533-position model. The record is from RNAcentral.
CAGUAGCCGCGGUAAUACGAAGGGGGCUAGCGUUGCUCGGAAUGACUGGGCGUAAAGCGCACGUAGGCGGCUUGGUAAGUUAGAGGUGAAAGCCCAGGGCUCAACCCUGGAAUUGCCUUUAAGACUGCCGAGCUAGUAGGUGAGAGAGGUAAGUGGAAUUCCGAGUGUAGAGGUGAAAUUCGUAGAUAUUCGGAAGAACACCAGUGGCGAAGGCGGCUUACUGGCUCAUUCUAGACGCUGAGGUGCGAAAGCGUGGGGAGCAAACAGGAUUAGAUACCCGAGUAGUCCCUGUCUCUUAUAC